This 253-nucleotide ribosomal RNA is filed under the name uncultured bacterium. RNAcentral's name for it is "partial 16S ribosomal RNA". It matches the Rfam family "Bacterial small subunit ribosomal RNA", at positions 524 to 776 of the family's 1533-position model. The record is from RNAcentral.
UACGGAGGGUGCAAACGUUGCUCGGAAUCAUUGGGCGUAAAGCGCAUGUAGGCGGCUUGUUAAGUCGGAUGUGAAAGCCCAAGGCUCAACCUUGGAAGUGCAUUCGAAACUGGCGAGCUUGAAUAUGGACGAGGGUCGCGGAAUUCCCGGUGUAGAGGUGAAAUUCGUAGAUAUCGGGAGGAACACCAGUGGCGAAGGCGGCGACCUGGGCCAAUAUUGACGCUAAGAUGCGAAAGCGUGGGGAGCAAACAGG